GGCUGAAGACGAAGGAGAAGCCUUCCUGGAUUGGAGCGAUGAUGAUGACAAGGAGUUUGAUCCGAGCACUCUUCCAGAUCCCGAUAAACACAGAGACUCCGGCGAUGAAGAGGAUUGUAAUAUGGAAGAUAACGACGGUGACCCCGGAAAGGCAUGGAAAGUGCGGAAAAGAAACUACAGCAGCAGUGAAGGUGAAGAAGAGGUGCCCAAGGUCAAGCGAAAUAAAAAGGCCAUGCAGAAGAAAGAAGCAUUUGAGCCACUGGAUACGGGCCUUUCUUUGGCAGAAGAUGAAGAGUUGGUGCUGCAUUUACUCAACAGUCACAGAUAAUUAUUUCUCUCCCCUUCCCUCUUAAAGUCAUUGUUGCCAUUAUGUUGACAAGUGAUAUAAACACAAUUUGUUUUAGGGCACAUUGGCUACCCUUCAUAUUGAUAAAUGAGUUCUAGGAAGGAAGGAUCCUUGUCUCUGGGCAGCAACCAGAAAUUACAAUAGGUCUGUGCAUGCCCUGUCUCCGAAUGUGCCCAGGAUGUGGUGGUUUUUCAAGGUCUCCGAGCCAGCUUUCUAGUGCAAUCCCUCCCUGUCUGUUCCCCGUCUCUCUCCGUUUUAAACGGACAGCUUCUGUUUGAACCUUACCAGGAGAGGUGAAGAUCUUCGUUGGUCUUUCGUUUCUAAAUUCUUCCCGUAAAACUCCACGUAGCCCCGACAACUGCAACAUCUGAAAAGACAAAGAAAGCGGCAGAGGAGUUCCUGAGAAAGGGUAUUUUUGUAAGUGGCUGGCGAUGAGCAAUAAGAGUGUUUCUCACAAAAUAAAAUGCAGAUUUGUUUUCA
This is a long non-coding RNA of Tachyglossus aculeatus (Australian echidna), 826 nucleotides long. RefSeq lists it as uncharacterized. Lineage: Eukaryota; Metazoa; Chordata; Mammalia; Monotremata; Tachyglossidae. The transcript is spliced from 2 exons. The record is from RefSeq and is a predicted model, not a curated record.